AGAACGAACGCUGGCGGCAUGCCUAAUACAUGCAAGUCGAACGAACUCUUCGGAGUUAGUGGCGCACGGGUGCGUAACGCGUGGGAAUCUGCCCUUGGGUUCGGAAUAACAGUUGGAAACGACUGCUAAUACCGGAUGAUGACGAAAGUCCAAAGAUUUAUCGCCCAGGGAUGAGCCCGCGUAGGAUUAGCUAGUUGGUGAGGUAAAGGCUCACCAAGGCGACGAUCCUUAGCAGGUCUGAGAGGAUGAUCAGCCACACUGGGACUGAGACACGGCCCAGACUCCUACGGGAGGCAGCAGUAGGGAAUAUUGGACAAUGGGCGAAAGCCUGAUCCAGCAAUGCCGCGUGAGUGAGUGAAGGCCUUAGGGUUAGUAAAGCUUACUUUACCCGAGAUGAUAAUGACAGUAGUCGGAGAAGUAAGCCCCGACUAACUCCGUGCCAGCAGCCG
RNAcentral lists this ribosomal RNA (449 nucleotides) under uncultured soil bacterium. RNAcentral describes it as "bacterial SSU rRNA". It matches the Rfam family "Bacterial small subunit ribosomal RNA", at positions 26 to 517 of the family's 1533-position model. The record is from RNAcentral.